RNAcentral lists this long non-coding RNA (385 nucleotides) under Strigops habroptila (Kakapo). Its description in RNAcentral is "lncRNA (ENSSHBG00005010682.1)". Lineage: Eukaryota; Metazoa; Chordata; Aves; Psittaciformes; Psittacidae. The record is from RNAcentral.
GAGUGCCGGCAGCUGAGAGCACAGCCCUGCACAAGCUGUGCCCCCGCUCCCCUUCCCCAGUCCUAUCUAAGGCACUCUGUGAGCCCGUGCCCCCAGCACAGGCCAUCACUAAGGGCUGCAGUUGCUGAAGAAGAAGAAGAACGCCUAGGAGAGACGGGUGAAGAAGAGAAAGGAGAAGAAAUAAGAUGAGAAAAGCAGUGCGGAAGAUGCCAGUGAAGAGCAGGGAGAAGCAGCAGCCUCCAGCAGGUCAGGCAAGAAACUGCCCCUCCCAGAGCAGAGUCCCAGAGAAAGGAAGAAGUGCCGAGUUUUGGCCACAUGGUGGCAGCACCGACCUGCUCCCGGCGCCUCAUCGCUGCUUCCCCCACGUGCCGUGCCGCGAUUUGGA